RNAcentral lists this ribosomal RNA (108 nucleotides) under Escherichia coli. Lineage: Bacteria; Pseudomonadati; Pseudomonadota; Gammaproteobacteria; Enterobacterales; Enterobacteriaceae. The record is from RNAcentral.
CCUUAGCGCGGUGGUCCCACCUGACCCCAUGCCGAACUCAGAAGUGAAACGCCGUAGCGCCGAUGGUAGUGUGGGGUCUCCCCAUGCGAGAGUAGGGAACUGCCAGAC